Non-coding RNA from Caenorhabditis elegans, 88 nucleotides. NCBI's taxonomy places the organism in Eukaryota, Metazoa, Nematoda, Chromadorea, Rhabditida, Rhabditidae. The record is from Ensembl.
CGAAAUGCCGUUUUGCUUAUGCUUCACAUAAUUUGGAAGCGUUUCAAGUGAAUAGAUGAGAGGAGCAUAUGAUGAGAGGAUGGUGUCC